RNAcentral lists this ribosomal RNA (396 nucleotides) under uncultured bacterium. RNAcentral's name for it is "partial 16S ribosomal RNA". It matches the Rfam family "Bacterial small subunit ribosomal RNA", at positions 523 to 918 of the family's 1533-position model. The record is from RNAcentral.
AUACGUAGGGGACGAGCGUUGUCCGGAAUUACUGGGUGUAAAGGGAGCGUAGGCGGGAGUGCAAGUCAGAUGUGAAAUACAUGGGCUCAACCCAUGGGCUGCAUUUGAAACUGCAUUUCUUGAGUGAAGUAGAGGUAAGCGGAAUUCCUGGUGUAGCGGUGAAAUGCGUAGAUAUCAGGAGGAACACCGGUGGCGAAGGCGGCUUACUGGGCUUUUACUGACGCUGAGGCUCGAAAGCGUGGGGAGCAAACAGGAUUAGAUACCCUGGUAGUCCACGCUGUAAACGAUGAUUACUAGGUGUGGGGGGACUGACCCCUUCCGUGCCGCAGUUAACACAAUAAGUAAUCCACCUGGGGAGUACGGCCGCAAGGUUGAAACUCAAAUGAAUUGACGGGG